This 1292-nucleotide ribosomal RNA is filed under the name Bacteroidales genomosp. P8 oral clone MB4_G15. RNAcentral describes it as "bacterial SSU rRNA". It matches the Rfam family "Bacterial small subunit ribosomal RNA". Lineage: Bacteria; Pseudomonadati; Bacteroidota; Bacteroidia; Bacteroidales. The record is from RNAcentral. RNAcentral also lists the same sequence under 1 other name.
GAUGAACGCUAGCGGCAGGCCUAACACAUGCAAGUCGAGGGACCGGCGAACGGGUGCGUAACGCGUGAACAACUUGCCGGACACAGGGGGAUAAUCGUCGGAAACGUCGUCUAAUAUCCCAUAACGAAAGGCGGUGUCUGAUAGGUUCGCGUGACAUUAGCUAGUCGGUGGGGCAACGGCCCACCGAGGCGACGAUGUCUAGGGGUUCUGAGAGGAAGGCCCCCCACACUGGGACUGAGACACGGCCCAGACUCCUACGGGAGGCAGCAGUGAGGGAUAUUGGACAAUGGGCGGAAGCCUGAUCCAGCCAUGCCGCGUGAAGGAAUAAGGCCUAUGGGUCGUAAACUUCUUUUGACGCAGAGCAUGAGAGUAUGCGUCGAAUAAGCAUCGGCUAACUCCGUGCCAGCAGCCGCGGUAAUACGGAGGAUGCGAGCGUUAUCCGGAUUUAUUGGGUUUAAAGGGUGCGUAGGCUGUUGGAUAAGUCAGCGGUGAAAUCACCACGCUUAACGUGUUGUGUGCCGUUGAAACUGUCUGGCUUGAAUGCGCUCGUCGUGAGAGGAAUGUGUGGUGUAGCGGUGAAAUGCAUAGAUAUCACACAGAACACCGAUUGCGAAGGCAUCUCACGAGAGCGAUUGACGCUGAUGCACGAAAGCGCGGGUAUCGAACAGGAUUAGAUACCCUGGUAGUCCGCGCUGUAAACGAUGAUGACUAACUGUUGGUUGAUCAGUGGUCAAGCGAAAGCGUUAAGUCAUCCACCUGGGGAGUACGGCCGCAAAGCUGAAACUCAAAGGAAUUGACGGGGGCCCGCACAAGCGGAGGAACAUGUGGUUUAAUUCGAUGAUACGCGAGGAACCUUACCCGGGCUCGAACGGUCGAGGUGCUGCAUGGUUGUCGUCAGCUCGUGCCGUGAGGUGUCGGCUUAAGUGCCAUAACGAGCGCAACCCUUGCCGUCAGUUGCCAUCAGCUGGGGACUCUGUCGGGACUGCCACCGCAAGGUGGAGGAAGGGGGGGAUGACGUCAAAUCAGCACGGCCCCUACGUCCGGGGCUACACACGUGUUACAAUGGCGACCAGAGGGGUGCCACCCGGUGACGGGGCGCCGAUCUCCGUCGUCUCAGUUCGGAUGGAGUCUGCAACCCGACUCCAGAAGCUGGAUUCGCUAGUAAUCGCACAUCAGCCAUGGUGCGGUGAAUACGUUCCCGGGCCUUGUACACACCGCCCGUCAAGCCAUGAGAGCCAGGGGCGCCUGAAGCGCGUACCGGAGCGUUCAAGGGCGAACCAGGUGAUUGGGGC